AGCGCAGGCGGUUUGAUAAGUCUGAAGUAAAAAGGCUGUGGCUUAACCAUAGUAUGCUUUGGAAACUGUCAAACUUGAGUGCAGAAGGGGAGAGUGGAAUUCCAUGUGUAGCGGUGAAAUGCGUAGAUAUAUGGAGGAACACCGGUGGCGAAAGCGGCUCUCUGGUCUGUAACUGACGCUGAGGCUGAAAGCGUGGGGAGCAAACA
RNAcentral lists this ribosomal RNA (206 nucleotides) under uncultured bacterium. Its description in RNAcentral is "partial 16S ribosomal RNA". It matches the Rfam family "Bacterial small subunit ribosomal RNA", at positions 568 to 774 of the family's 1533-position model. The record is from RNAcentral.